This 1345-nucleotide long non-coding RNA is filed under the name Numida meleagris (helmeted guineafowl). RNAcentral's name for it is "lncRNA (ENSNMEG00000019252.1)". Lineage: Eukaryota; Metazoa; Chordata; Aves; Galliformes; Numididae. The record is from RNAcentral.
GUUUUUAAAAACAAGUGAUAUUUGAUAUAAAAAUUGCAGGAAAACAAUUAUGCUGGUUUAUGUUAUGUUGGAAUAAUUCACUUGUUGUUACCCAGCCUGUUAGUAUAAUUGGGCACAUUGCAACUUAUGGAAGGUCUCUACUGCCAGCCUCUUUUCUGUAAUUCAUUAGCAUCAAGUUUCUGCUUUAACCUAUAACUUAUUAAAACUACAGAUCUUCAUAAUUUCAGUGGAGAGUCCCCAUGCUGAACAAUAAAAGCCUUGGAAUCCUUUAUCCUGUGGACUGAGAUGGAGAGAGAAAGUGAUGAUGCAAGGCAUGGGGAUGGAAGGUGAAACAUCAUCUGGGUUUGUUAAAGGACAUGACUGCUGCAUAUGUCAGUAUUUUGGUCCCUAUCAGUAUUUUGGUCCCAGCAACAGUGGAUUCCAGCUUGUCUGGUCAAUAGGCCUGAAAUAGUCACUUACUACAGUGCUCCUAGGUGUAAAUUAUUUUCAAAUCAGAUUGGUCUCAGUAACACAAAUCGCUAUGUGUAGCCCCUAGCUUGGUUUUCAAUCUUUGUAUAAUCCAGAUGGAUUCUAUUUACAGUCAAAUGAUGAGGAGCAGUAUCUGUCUAGGGUGUGACAUUGUGUGCUAGGAUGGACCUAUGAACAGCAUCAUGGAAAGGGACUUUAUUCAGACAGAUGCUGAGGAAAGGAUGCAGUGUAUGGUUGGAUCUGAGGAACUUAUGGUUCCUGAGAUCAGGGGGCCCUUAGCAGCCAUGCUGUUCUCAGCCUUCUCAUUCCACCACACUGAACCAAUUUCAGCUCUUUAGCAGAUUUUGGCUUUGCUCUGCUUGUUGUAUCUGGGAGGGGAGAAUAAGAGAGACAGUGCACAUUGUGCAUAGGACUUUACUCUGAGGGACCUCAGGGAGAAGCCAGUGGGUAGACUUCUGGAGGGCUAUGGGAAUUUGUUGGCAUCAGAAAUGCAGAAAGGACUGCAAUGGGACUUCAAAAGAAGUUAUUGGUACCACAGAAGAAAUCCACUCACAAAUCCACUUCAGCGCAACGUUGAGCAACAUGGAAUUGGUUUAUCCUAUUAGAUUUGCCCUAAAGUGCCUACAGACUCUUGUAUGCCAUCUGGAGAAUGCUUGGAAUUGGAGGAGAAAUGCAGGAGGAAAAGAAAGAGAGAUAUUCCCUAGAGAAAUAGAGAGAAAAUGUUUGAAUCCAGAACGAAGACUUCAUCAGUAUCAUGGAGUAUUUAAACAUCAGUUUUGACAAGCAGCCACUAGAGGUCAGAUGUGUUUUUAAAUUAACAAAACUUAUUUCUCCAUUUUAUCAUAUUUUUAUGUAUUUCUAUUUCUUUUUGGUCCCA